This 21-nucleotide unclassified non-coding RNA is filed under the name Dictyostelium discoideum. The record is from RNAcentral. Lineage: Eukaryota; Evosea; Eumycetozoa; Dictyosteliales; Dictyosteliaceae.
CUUCAGUUGCCAGAUGUAACU